This 253-nucleotide ribosomal RNA is filed under the name uncultured bacterium. Its description in RNAcentral is "partial 16S ribosomal RNA". It matches the Rfam family "Bacterial small subunit ribosomal RNA", at positions 524 to 776 of the family's 1533-position model. The record is from RNAcentral.
UACGAAGGGGGCUAGCGUUGUCCGGAAUUAUUGGGCGUAAAGGGCUCGUAGGCGGUCUGUUGCGUCGGGAGUGAAAACUCAGGGCUUAACCCUGAGCCUGCUUCCGAUACGGGCAGACUAGAGGUAUGCAGGGGAGAACGGAAUUCCUGGUGUAGCGGUGAAAUGCGCAGAUAUCAGGAGGAACACCGGUGGCGAAGGCGGUUCUCUGGGCAUUACCUGACGCUGAGGAGCGAAAGUGUGGGGAGCGAACAGG